CCCACACAAUCCUAUAUAAACAGGUGGUGCACCCAUGUGCCACAAACACACACACGUUUACUGUUCUUGGCACUGCUUUAUACUCACGGGAUUCAAGUCACCAUGAAGCUGCUAUUUCUGGCCAUGAGUGUGCUGUUGGUUGUACUAGCACUGAUGGAAGUCACCUCGGCGUUCCCAAAUCCGCUACCAGAUGCUUUGGCCGACCCUGAAGCUGAAGCUAAUCCUGGUCCAUUCUUCUUCUUCAAAAACUAUCGUCCAUAUUAUUAUCGUCGCUUCUACUAUUACUACUAAUGACUUACCAUUAACACUUUAUCCAAAAGGAAAUAGAUACUGAGGAGCCAGUCUUAAUUCCAAAGAUAUUCUCAGAAAUUAAACACAAGAAAUGGACACACACACACACACACACACACACACACACACACACACACACAAAUCCAUGGGCAUUUAUAUGAAAAGUGCACUGUUUCUUUGCAUGUUUUCAACGCAGCAUGCGAAUAUAAAACAUUUCUUAUUUCUCUGAAAGUGUAGUCUUGUUUUAUUAACAUUACUUAUUAAUAAUUUGAAUGAUGUGAUGGAUUAUGUGCUUAAAAAUCUCACAAUAUGUAGCAUAUCAAUUUAUCCUUGAUGUCCAGUACGUAGAGAAUAAUGGGAACUGAUAUAACAAGAAUUACAGAUGAUAAAAAAAAAUAAAAUAAAAAUUUGAACGGAA
Long non-coding RNA from Scylla paramamosain (green mud crab), 709 nucleotides. RefSeq lists it as uncharacterized. The record is from RefSeq and is a predicted model, not a curated record. NCBI's taxonomy places the organism in Eukaryota, Metazoa, Arthropoda, Malacostraca, Decapoda, Portunidae. The transcript has 2 exons.